AGGACGAACGCUGGCGGCGUGCUUAACACAUGCAAGUCGAGCGGAAAGGCCCUUCGGGGUACUCGAGCGGCGAACGGGUGAGUAACACGUGAGUAACCUGCCCUAGGCUUUGGGAUAACCCUCGGAAACGGGGGCUAAUACCGAAUAUUCAUUCUGGAUGGCAUCAUCUGGUGUGGAAAGUUUUUCGGCCUGGGAUGGGCUUGCGGCCUAUCAGCUUGUUGGUGGGGUGAUGGCCUACCAAGGCGACGACGGGUAGCCGGCCUGAGAGGGCGACCGGCCACACUGGGACUGAGACACGGCCCAGACUCCUACGGGAGGCAGCAGUGGGGAAUAUUGCACAAUGGGCGGAAGCCUGAUGCAGCGACGCCGCGUGAGGGAUGAAGGCCUUCGGGUUGUAAACCUCUUUCGACAGGGACGAAGCGCAAGUGACGGUACCUGGAGAAGAAGCGCCGGCCAACUACGCGCCAGCAGCCGC
Molecule: ribosomal RNA, 475 nt
Filed under: uncultured bacterium
Lineage: Bacteria
Description: SSU rRNA
Rfam family: Bacterial small subunit ribosomal RNA
Source: RNAcentral